Long non-coding RNA from Etheostoma spectabile (orangethroat darter), 74 nucleotides. RefSeq lists it as uncharacterized. Lineage: Eukaryota; Metazoa; Chordata; Actinopteri; Perciformes; Percidae. The record is from RefSeq and is a predicted model, not a curated record. The transcript has 4 exons.
GGCCACUCCAAAUAAGAUGGAACAGAAUUGAGAUAUCUCACUCUGUAGUUAAAACAGAAAGCUCAACAUACAGG